UACAGAGGGUGCAAACGUUGUUCGGAUUUACUGGGCGUAAAGCGCGUGUAGGCGGCUUUGCAAGUCGGAUGUGAAAGCCCACGGCUCAACCGUGGAAGUGCAUCCGAAACUGCAUGGCUCGAGUCUCGGAGAGGAAGGUGGAAUGCUUGGUGUAGAGGUGAAAUUCGUAGAUAUCAAGCAGAACACCUGCGGCGAAGGCGGCCUUCUGGACGAUGACUGACGCUGAGACGCGAAAGCGUGGGGAGCAAACAGG
This 253-nucleotide ribosomal RNA is filed under the name uncultured bacterium. RNAcentral's name for it is "partial 16S ribosomal RNA". It matches the Rfam family "Bacterial small subunit ribosomal RNA", at positions 524 to 776 of the family's 1533-position model. The record is from RNAcentral.